AGGUGCUAAGCAGCAGACACACUCACACACACACAGAGGAAAGGAACACAUAUCUCCUUCUCAGGGCUCCACUCUUCAAUCUAAGAAGGCUUACUUCCAACGGCCAGCCACUUUGCCUUUCCCACCUCGGCCCGCUUUUGUGCUGUAAGGAUAAAAAAGAAAAUGGAUGAAAUGAAAGGAGGAAAACAAAUUGUACAGAGCAGGAGACACCUUUUAAUGUCUCUUCAGUGAUGAGCAAGGAGUGUUGCAAUAUGGGCGUCAGUCACUUAGGACUUCACCAAAAGCUUUUUUCUUUAGCAUUAACUUGGCACAUUACUUACCACAGCUGGCACUGAGAUCACUCAGUUUAAAGGAAGGUAUCUGCUUUUUGCCUUUAGCCUUCUGGAGCAUUCAUUAUUCCCAUCAGAGGCUUUUUAUUCUCCUUUUUUUACUCAAACAGGCCACACAUCACACAUGACACACAUCUCCCAGACAUUAAAAAAUAUGUACUCUUGGAACAUCUGUUCAAGUGGCCUUUUGAGGAAUUAUGAAGUAGUUGCAGAAUGAAGCACAUCUGUCUUGAUUUUAACCCAUGUUUUAGCUUGGUUAAAGAGGUGGAGUCCCUUUAUAAGAAAUGACUUUCCAUAGUUCACCUUGUCUGUAUUCCUACUCCUUGUUACCUUGCUUGUUAUUCCACUGCAUGCCCCUGACCUUUUCAAUAAUGACCUUACUUGGAUGGCCCAGUCUGCUUUACUUGGCUGUUUAGAGAUUCUGAUGUACUUACGAGAAAUCGUAGGCAAAGGUCGGGCUCCCACUUCAGGCUGACACACUUUCAUGACAUGUUUCUUAAAUAGCCCUUAUGGCAAAUUGUCUGGCUUGACACCUUGUAUGUAUGACACAUUUGUGCACAUGUGGGGCUCUGAUUUCAGGAAAGAGUAUAUCAAUAUUAGACUUUUUCUUAUGAUCAUGGAAGCCAGAGACUGUUACUUUAAAAUUAGUUCAACAAAGAAUACAGGGGCAUAGUAGAUAAUUUCAGACACACAUUAGAAACGUUUUCUUCACUCUGAGACUAUAAACAUACAGAAUAAAGUAAAAAGCAGUUUGGUGGACAGGAGGACUACACUGGAUUGGCAAGUUAUGCUGGGCUGAAUGACACAUUCUUCUCAAACGUAUUUCUGAUGUUCUAAUUUCUCUGUUUUGGAAUUUGUAAUGUAGGCAACAGUGGGCCAGGAGGAUAAAUGGAGUAACCCCAGAGGCAAUGGCAUGUAUGUUUAAAGUGAGCGCACCCUGAUUACAGGGGCACAGAAAUAGAAAAUGGGGAUUUAAUAAUUCAACAAAUGUAUCACAGUCCUAGUCCUAAGGCAAUAAAAAGUCCUGUUACAGAAUGCAUGGCCUCCUUAAUGUAUUAUGGCAGAUAGGCUACCUGGAGUUUGCCUAACCUUUUCAAGUGUGUGCCAGAGAUCUGAAGCACAGAGAUGCUUCAGGCUGGCCUAAGAAGUUCCA
This is a long non-coding RNA of Erpetoichthys calabaricus (reedfish), 1482 nucleotides long. RefSeq lists it as uncharacterized. The transcript has 3 exons. Lineage: Eukaryota; Metazoa; Chordata; Cladistia; Polypteriformes; Polypteridae. The record is from RefSeq and is a predicted model, not a curated record.